This 799-nucleotide long non-coding RNA is filed under the name Homo sapiens (human). RNAcentral describes it as "HSALNT0299065". The record is from RNAcentral. Lineage: Eukaryota; Metazoa; Chordata; Mammalia; Primates; Hominidae.
GACUGGAGCUAGAAGGGGGCAGGGAAAUGGGACGAUGACCAGAUGUGGCCCAUGGCAAGGCCGUGCAUUGUGAAGGGAGGAGGAGGGUCUGAGAUCCGGGAGCCCUGCAGAGAGUUUGCUGAAGAGUGAAGAAAGGACGGCGUUAGUAAUGGGAUGAGGGAUACUGGAGUCCGAAUUAACAUAGCACACAGAGAGAUAUUCAGGAAAAUACAUCAUAUCUUGCACUUGGGUGGAAAAGAGCAGAAAUCCUUGGUUAACAGGAUUAUACGCAAUGGUGCAGAAAGCAUUCUCUAAAGAAAAAUCAGAGAGGAAGAAACACUGCAUGGAGAAUCCAAGAAACACUCUAAGAAUUGAAGUUAAAAUGUCGGAGGAGGCCUCGUAUGUCUUCUUCUAGGAGGACUCUCAGCUGAUGUUGGUUUUUUUAGUCUGUAUGAGCGAUGGACAAGCUGUCACUACCCAUUAGAUUUUGGGUGGUCCCAGGGGACCAUCCCAAGUUUGAGGAAAGUUGGCAAUGGAAAAAGGAGCAUCUGAUAGGAGCAGUCAGUGAAGUCCUUGGACAGCUACAAGAUAAAAGGACACAUGUCUCUCCAGGUGGCCUCCCUCACCUUGACAGUGUGAAUUAACAGCUUAUCUUCAUGGACAUGGGACAAGAGGAGACUGGAAAUCAUCUCCCACACCACCCUCUCCAAGACAAAUUCAUAUUUAACUUCUACUUCUGCUCUGUUGACUUUAUCCUAUGUAAAGUACAGAUUUACUGAGCACGAGACAAAUGCAUAACUGACUAUUUCUUUACCCUCUC